GGUUAAGCGACUAAGCGUACACGGUGGAUGCCCUGGCAGUCAGAGGCGAUGAAGGGCGUGCUAAUCUGCGAUAAGCGCCGGUAAGGUGAUAUGAACCGUUAUAACCGGCGAUACCCGAAUGGGGAAACCCAGUGUGAUUCGUCACACUAUCAUUAACUGAAUCCAUAGGUUAAUGAGGCGAACCGGGGGAACUGAAACAUCUAAGUACCCCGAGGAAAAGAAAUCAACCGAGAUUCCCCCAGUAGCGGCGAGCGAACGGGGAGGAGCCCAGAGCCUGAAUCAGCAUGUGUGUUAGUGGAAGCGUCUGGAAAGGCGCGCGAUACAGGGUGACAGCCCCGUACACAAAAGCGCAUGUGCUGUGAGCUCGAUGAGUAGGGCGGGACACGUGGUAUCCUGUCUGAAUAUGGGGGGACCAUCCUCCAAGGCUAAAUACUCCUGACUGACCGAUAGUGAACCAGUACCGUGAGGGAAAGGCGAAAAGAACCCCGGCGAGGGGAGUGAAAAAGAACCUGAAACCGUGUACGUACAAGCAGUGGGAGCACCCUUUGGGUGU
This 553-nucleotide ribosomal RNA is filed under the name Salmonella enterica subsp. enterica serovar Enteritidis. RNAcentral describes it as "partial 23S ribosomal RNA". It matches the Rfam family "Bacterial large subunit ribosomal RNA", at positions 1 to 594 of the family's 2925-position model. The record is from RNAcentral. Lineage: Bacteria; Pseudomonadati; Pseudomonadota; Gammaproteobacteria; Enterobacterales; Enterobacteriaceae.